CAAAGUGCUGAGAUUGCAGGCCUGAGACACUGUGCCUGGCCUUAAACACAAAUCUUAAUUCAUUCUUACAAUUAUUCUGAGGUUACAAAAAUGGAAGGGGAAGAAAAAUGGCAAGUAGGUAGGCUGACUUCGGCUUCAUUAUUUGGAAGGACAGUUUGCUCGGUUAAAACACACUACUGCCUACAAAGGCCAAGACAACAGAAAAAUACAGACUUACAUAAAUAGAUUUUAUAUGUGACAGCAGUUUGAAUGGAGACUUUUUCAAUGCAAUGAGAAACAGCUGUGCUUGGGAAUAAAUGACAACGAAUUUUUUUAUCUCAACAGCUGUCCUGAGAGCAUGUCUCUACAUCUCUACCUGCAUUCUGGAAUCAGGGAGAAAGCCAAAACGGACGACAAGACACUAGAUCAGCCGUGUCCAACCCUUUGCCUACAAGGACUUUUCCACCUAUCUGUGGUGGAAACCCCUUGAGGUUAAGACCCCACAAUCACAUGAGGAUGGAGUGGCUCACCCUCAGUCAACAGGCCAGACUCAAGGGGUUCCUGGCAAGUCAUUUCUCCCUCAGGCCUUCGGUUUCCUCACCUACAAGAUGAGAGGGCUGGACCAGAUGGAAAUUCAGGGGGUAAGGG
This 627-nucleotide long non-coding RNA is filed under the name Homo sapiens (human). Its description in RNAcentral is "HSALNT0295223". The record is from RNAcentral. Lineage: Eukaryota; Metazoa; Chordata; Mammalia; Primates; Hominidae.